Molecule: small nucleolar RNA, 140 nt
Filed under: Ochotona princeps (American pika)
Lineage: Eukaryota; Metazoa; Chordata; Mammalia; Lagomorpha; Ochotonidae
Description: Small nucleolar RNA SNORA74 (ENSOPRG00000022736.1)
Source: RNAcentral
UCCAGCUGUAGGCAAAAGCCUAGGUUGCCUUGUACCUAGGCAAUUGUUACACAGCUGGGAGAAAAGCAGCCAAUAGCUGAUGGGCAUCCUGGUCCUGGUUAAUGUCAAAUUUGUGUUAACUAUACCUGUGUGCCAGCAUA